GAAGAAGAAUUUGAUGAUUUCCUACAAGAAUAUCUGUCUACAUUUAAGACAGUGGAAGAAAAGCCUGAACUGGAAUAUGAAUGCAAGACUGAAAUGAACACGUCACCCACCAUGACCUUGAGAGAAGAAAAGUAUUCACCAAUGGAAAUUAAAGAUGAAUUUGAUUCAAGAGAGUAUGGUGACUUUGACUCUUUACCUACAAGAGACAUUCAAAGGAUCCAAUCUAACAAGAAAGGGAAUACUGAGGGAAAAAGAAACAAAGAGACACGUCAUGGAAGCCUCCAGCGCAGAAAGACUUCAUACCAGGAAAUACAUCAGCGACAGGACACCGGGGAGAAACAACAUGAAUGCUCCCAGUGUUUCAAAACAUUUGCUAGACGUUGCUAUCUUGUAAUUCAUCAAAGAAUACACACAGGAGAAAAGCCCCCUCAGUGCAGUACAUGUGGGAAGGCCUUCAGUCAAAUGUCUAAUCUCAAGAAACACCAGAAGAUCCAUACUGGGGAAAAGCCCCAUCAGUGCAGUACAUGUAAGAAGGCCUUCAGUCAAUUGUGUAAUCUCAAGAAACACCAGAAGAUCCAUACUAGGGAAAAGCCCCAUCAGUGCAGUACAUGUGGGAAGGCCUUCCGUCAAAUGACAAAUCUCAAGACACACCAGAUGAUUCAUACUGGAAAAAAUCCCCACCAGUGCAGUACAUGUGGGAAGGCCUUUAGUAACAAGUAUACUCUCAAGACACACCAGAGGAUCCAUACUGG
Long non-coding RNA from Clupea harengus (Atlantic herring), 752 nucleotides. RefSeq lists it as uncharacterized. The transcript is spliced from 2 exons. Lineage: Eukaryota; Metazoa; Chordata; Actinopteri; Clupeiformes; Clupeidae. The record is from RefSeq and is a predicted model, not a curated record.